Molecule: ribosomal RNA, 109 nt
Filed under: Carlito syrichta (Philippine tarsier)
Lineage: Eukaryota; Metazoa; Chordata; Mammalia; Primates; Tarsiidae
Source: RNAcentral
GUCCACGGUCACACCACUCUGAAAGUGCUCCAUCUCAUCUGAUCUAGGAAACUAAGCAGGGUCAUGGCUAGUUAGUACUUGGCUGGGAGAAUGCAGAGCAGUGUAGACA